UAAAACUGAGCUGGAUCCUCAAUUAUCACUUGAUUAAUAUACUGGCUAAUAGGGUGUAUAGAAGUGGACAAUUUCUAUAAAGGAAACCAUUCAUACAUACUAAAGGAGUAUAGAACAUAAAGUCCAAGAAUGGAAUUUAUGGUAAUUACAUUUAUUCCUUACUUAUGUGCACUUCAACAAUAAAUGGAAAAUAUAUUUUUGCAUGACCAUUAUAUUCUCAAAAAAUAUAUAUAUUAUAGGUAUUGUUGAAAUGCACAUGACUAAGGAAUAUAUGUAAUACCAUAAAUUCUGUUCCUGGACUUAAUAUCUUCAUAUAUAGUCUCUAAAAUUCCAUGUUUAUAAGUCAGUUUUACACCAGGUAAUCGGACUAUUUUUUUUCCAUACCUGCCACCUCUGAUGAGCGCAGUUGUUAGGUAAUUUUCUGAUUACCUAAUAUCCAGUGCAAAACCAAUUGGUAAGAUCAGCUGUAAUGAAUCUAUAAUAUUGUAUACUUAAACUAAUAAUAAUAAUAAUGAUAAUAUGUGUAUGUAGUAUAUACACCAAUGUGUCAAUAUGGUUUACAUGUAGGUUUCACAACUCAGCUACGAUUACAUUUAAUCCCUUUAGAAGUAUGUGUAACACCAAAUAGACAGAAGAAAUACAAAGAAAAAGUAUCCCUUUUUUUUUCCUCGUAUUUUUUUCAAUUUUUAUUCUAAUUCAGUAAGUAUGUAUUUGUGCCUAUAUUUUUAUAUGUACUGUCUCAGUAAUAUCUCCUUAAAACACUUGACUGAAGUCUGAUGGGAUCUGUCGGUUUGUUUUACACUCGUACUUCUAAAGUACGGAAUUAUGGAAUUAAUAACAAUCUGUUUAAUUGCACAAACUAACUGAUGCUAUCUCUUACACUGUGUAUAUAUGUUUGUAAUUAUUAUGAUCGUAAGGUUGUGGGUUUCGAUUCCUGGACCAGACGAUGCGUUGUGUUCUUGAGCAAAACACUUCAUUUUCACAUUGCUCCAGUCCACUCAGCUGGCAACAAUGAGUAAUCCUGCGACAGACCAGCGUUCUGUCCAGGUGGGGAAUUUCUAUGCCACUGAAACCAGGAAACCGGCCCUUAUGAGCCUGGCAUGGCUCGAGAAGGAAUAUUUGUGGAGGCGCGAUGGCCCAGUGGUUAGGGCAGUGGACUCACAGUCGGAGGAUCACGGUUUCGAUUCCAAGACCGAGCGUUGUGUAUGUUUAUUGAGCAAAAACACCUAAAGCUCUACAAGGCUCCGGCAGGGGGGGGUGGGUGGCAAACCCUGUUGUACUCUUUCGCCCCAACUUUCUCUCACUCUUUCUUCCUGGUUCUUGAGUAACACUGCAAUGAACUGGCAUUGCGUCCAGUUGUGGGGGAAUCACAUAUGCCAUAGAAACCAGGAAACCGGACCCAUGAGCCUGGCUAGGCUUGAAAAGGGCACAUAAAUAUAAUAAAAUAGUAUUUCUAAUUGUUAGAAGACAAUAUCUGAUAUCCUAACAAGCAUUGUUAAAUACACCAAAGUUGAUCAUGGUGCCGGCUUUAAAAAUGGUUGCAAAUCACUGCUUUUAUUCUAACAUCUUACAUUUGGACAGUAUGUAUGUUUGUGUGUGCAUGAGAGAGAAAAUGCAGGUCUCUUUCUCUUUGUCUUCUUCCUCCUCUCACUACCUAUCAAGUUAUAUAUACAUAAAUAUGUAUGUAUAUACAUACAUAAAUAUGUAUGUAUACACAUAUAUAAAUAUGUAUGUUUAUUGCAAGCAAAAUGUCUCAUGUUACCAUUCUGUGUGUCUUAACCCUCUUUUGUCAGACGGUCCCAAUCCCCUUACUAAUUCUUUAGCUUUCGUCUCCUCUACCAGAGGUUUCCCACGGUUUCCUUUUUUUAAAAACUCACGGGCUCAUUUUACAAAUGGCCAAACCUUUCUUCUCUUGUUUCAUAUUUUAAAACUUUUAUUUUAAUACAUCUCAUAUACAAUACAGAUUGUAUGUUUGGAUAUCCCCUAUAGUGAGUGUAUGAGGCACAUCAACUAAAUUUCACUAAAUUUUGUUGUCAAUAAGAUACUCUAGAAACGCCUUGAAUUUUUUUUUUCAGUGGUUGGGUGGCGGUCAUUUUACAUUUUUUUUUUUUUCUGUCUAUAAACACAUAAUUUAUUUCGCAUGUAGAAGAAUUCUCCACAUUGUUAAAUACAGAAUGCUGUUGAACAAAAUAAAGAAUGGGGGGGAAAAAAGAAAAAAAAAAUCUUACAAAAAUCAAAAAUAAGAAAUCUGAAUUUCAAGGACCAGUUGGUUUUUUUUUUUUUUUAGUGUUUUAUUUUUUAUUUUUUUUCAAAAAAAAAAUUAAUUGAAAUUCUGUAAUCUUCCGAUGCCAUCUAAUUUUCAGUUGAUACUGAAAUAUUUUGCUACAAACACAUGUACAUGUAUACACACACACACACACACACACAUACAUAUAUAUGCUUACACAAUAUCCAUGACGUAUUUAGACCUUCAACUCCAUAAAUCGUGAACGAAUCAAAAGUGGGGUAGUACUCCCUCUCCCCCCUCUUUUUUUUUUUUAUCUUGGCCUUCAUUCAAAAUAAAAAUACUGUGUAAUGCUGAGCUGCAGUCCCAAUGUUUGUGAUAUACAGAUCUCAACUUUGUGCGUGUCUCAUUUCGAUAUGGAGGCACCUUCGUUUCUUCUGUGACUGACUUCACUAAAGAUUUUAUAAAAAUUGCUGCUUAAACAUCACACAUACAGAUGCAGACAAAUGCACAUGGACACACACAUAUACACACACAUAUUAUAAAUAUAUAUAUAUAUAUACACAUGCACACACAUACAUAUAUACACACAUAACACACACAUAUAUACAUGCAACAAACAUACGUAUAUAUUUAUAUAUAUCCACACACACUCAUACAAACACAUAAUCAUGUAUCUAUAUGUGUGUGUAUAUAUAUGCACACAUGCACAUAUGUGUCUGUAUAUAUAUAUAUAUAUACGCAUAUAUAUAUGGGUAUGUAUGUAUAUAUGUGUGUGUGUGUGUGUAUAUGUAUGUGUGUAUGUUUGUAUGUUAAUAUCAUACCUACCUACACACAUCUGCAAUGAUUUCAUAAUAAAUUUUUCAUUUUCAC
This 3097-nucleotide long non-coding RNA is filed under the name Octopus vulgaris (common octopus). Lineage: Eukaryota; Metazoa; Mollusca; Cephalopoda; Octopoda; Octopodidae. The record is from RNAcentral.